This 161-nucleotide non-coding RNA is filed under the name bovine gut metagenome. Its description in RNAcentral is "Lysine riboswitch". It matches the Rfam family "Lysine riboswitch aptamer". From Rfam's summary of the family: Riboswitches are metabolite binding domains within certain messenger RNAs that serve as precision sensors for their corresponding targets. Allosteric rearrangement of mRNA structure is mediated by ligand binding, and this results in modulation of gene expression. The record is from RNAcentral.
UGAUAGAGGCGCGGUGUCCAUCAGUAGCCGCCGCCGUACGCGCGGGAACGCGGGCGGCAGUGAAAGGGGUCAUCGCCGAAGGGCAUCCGGUUCCCGGCCGGGUGUGCCUGGGCCGUCGGAGAAGAUCCGCCGGACUGUCGCAGAAAUGCGGAGAGCUGUCG